This 255-nucleotide ribosomal RNA is filed under the name uncultured bacterium. RNAcentral describes it as "partial 16S ribosomal RNA". It matches the Rfam family "Bacterial small subunit ribosomal RNA", at positions 99 to 354 of the family's 1533-position model. The record is from RNAcentral.
CGGACGGGUGAGUAACGCGUGGGUAACCUGCCUCAUACAGGGGGAUAACAGUUAGAAAUGACUGCUAAUACCGCAUAAGCGCACGAGGAUGCAUGUUCUUGUGUGAAAAACUCCGGUGGUAUGAGAUGGACCCGCGUCUGAUUAGCUAGUUGGAGGGGUAACGGCCCACCAAGGCGACGAUCAGUAGCCGACCUGAGAGGGUGACCGGCCACAUUGGGACUGAGACACGGCCCAAACUCCUACGGGAGGCAGCAG